AGCAUCCGCGGUAAUUCCAGCUCCGAUAGCGUAUAUUAAAGUUGUUGCAGUUAAAAAGCUCGUAGUUGAAUUUCGGGAUCAAUUAAUUGGUCGUGCCUCUGGUACGUACUGAUUUUAUUGGUUUCUCCCUUCUGACGAACCAUGAUGUCAUUAAUUUGGUGUCGUGGAGAAUCAGGACUGUUACUUUGAAAAAAUUAGAGUGUUUAAAGCAAGCUAACGCUUGAAUACAUUAGCAUGGAAUAAUGAAAUAGGACGUUUGAUCCUAUUUUGUUGGUUUCUAGGAUCGACGUAAUGAUUAAUAGGGAUAGUUGGGGGCAUUAGUAUUCAAUUGUCAGAGGUGAAAUUCUUGGAUUUAUUGAAGACUAACUACUGCGAAAGCAUUUGCCAAGGAUGUUUUCAUUAAUCAAGAACGAAAGUUAGGGGAUCGAAGACGAUCAGAUACCGUCGUAGUCUUAACCAUAAACUAUGCCGACUAGGGAUCGGAUGAUGUUAAUUUAAUGACUCA
RNAcentral lists this ribosomal RNA (505 nucleotides) under uncultured Glomus. RNAcentral describes it as "SSU rRNA". It matches the Rfam family "Eukaryotic small subunit ribosomal RNA", at positions 569 to 1078 of the family's 1831-position model. The record is from RNAcentral. Lineage: Eukaryota; Fungi; Glomeromycota; Glomeromycetes; Glomerales; Glomeraceae.